GUAGGUGAACCUGCGGAGGGAUCAUUACAGAGAACAUCGCCCGCAAGGGUGACUCUCCAACCCUAUGUUAAUUAUACCUUUGUUGCUUUGGCGAGCCGCUUCGGCCACCGGCUCACGCUGGUGAGCGCUCGCCAGAGGAUCCUAAACUCUGUUUAUACAUGUCGUCUGAGUACUAUAUAAUAGUUAAAACUUUCAACAACGGAUCUCUUGGUUCUG
This 216-nucleotide unclassified non-coding RNA is filed under the name rhizosphere metagenome. Its description in RNAcentral is "partial ribosomal RNA internal transcribed spacer region". The record is from RNAcentral.